Molecule: ribosomal RNA, 253 nt
Filed under: uncultured bacterium
Lineage: Bacteria
Description: partial 16S ribosomal RNA
Rfam family: Bacterial small subunit ribosomal RNA
Source: RNAcentral
GACGUAGGACGCAAGCGUUAUCCGGAGUUACUGGGCGUAAAGCGCGGGCAGGCGGUUCCGCAAGUUCGAUGUGAAAUCACUGGGCUUAACCCAGCGAGGCCAUUGGAAACUACGGAACUGGAGGGCAGCAGAGGUAGGCGGAAUUCCGGGUGGAGUGGUGAAAUGCGUAGAGAUCCGGAGGAACACCAGAGGCGAAGGCGGCCUACUGGGCUGCACCUGACGCUGAGCCGCGAAAGCCAGGGGAGCGAACGGG